AAGCUUCAAAAACAUACCAGCAAGGUACCUGAGCUGUGAUUUAGAGCCUUUUUGAGCAGUUGUCAUAAGCGAAGGUUUUGUGGAGACUACGGUCCCUAUUAGCGUUAUGCAAGAACCUUAUAUUUGUUAUUAAAAUGUGUGGAAUAUCCCCUGUUGAAAAAGAAUUGGAAGCAGGUGGGGCAGAAGUCCAGGGAUUUUCAAGCAAAAUUUGGAAAUUCAUAUUUCACUGAUGAAAAUUUCAUGGAAGAAAUCACGACGUGAGGAAGACGUUCUCGUGUUGGACUUUUCCCACAUGUAUCUACUCUAAGGACUUUAUUAGGGAUAUAUGUUUCUUUGUGUUUAUGGCUAAUAAUACAAUUGUUAUUUCAUUGUCGCUA
Molecule: long non-coding RNA, 377 nt
Organism: Heteronotia binoei (common prickly gecko)
Lineage: Eukaryota; Metazoa; Chordata; Lepidosauria; Squamata; Gekkonidae
Exons: 2
Source: RefSeq, a predicted model, not a curated record